This 298-nucleotide signal recognition particle RNA is filed under the name Cebus imitator (Panamanian white-faced capuchin). RNAcentral describes it as "Metazoan signal recognition particle RNA (ENSCCAG00000007667.1)". It matches the Rfam family "Metazoan signal recognition particle RNA". From Rfam's summary of the family: The signal recognition particle (SRP) is a universally conserved ribonucleoprotein. It is involved in the co-translational targeting of proteins to membranes. Lineage: Eukaryota; Metazoa; Chordata; Mammalia; Primates; Cebidae. The record is from RNAcentral.
GCUGGGCAUGGUGGCACGUGCCUGUAGUCCCAGCUACUCGGGAGGCUGAGGUGGGAGGAUCGCUUGAGCGCAGGAGUUCUGGGCUGCAGUGUGCUAUGCCGAUUGGGUGUCCGCACUAAGUUCAGCAUCAAUAUGGUGACCUCCUGGGAGCGGUGGACCACCAGGUUGCCUAAGGAGGGGUGAACUGGCCCAGGUCGGAAACGGAGCAGGUCAAAACUCCCAUGCUGAUCAGUAGUGGGAUCGCACUGUGAACAGCCACUGCACUCCAGCCCGAGCAACAUAGCAAGACCCUGUCUCU